AACGAACGCUGGCGGCGUGCCUAACACAUGCAAGUCGAACGCGAAAAGGGGGGCAACCCCCGGUAGCGUGGCAGACGGGUGAGUAACACGUGGGUAACCUACCCGGAGGUGGGGGAUAACCCUUCGAAAGGAGGGCUAAUACCGCAUGACACCGCGGGGACUUCGGUCCUUGCGAUCAAAGCUGGCCUCUGUUUACAAGCUAGCGCCACCGGAUGGGCCCGCGCCCCAUUAGCUAGUUGGUGAGGUAACGGCUCACCAAGGCGACGAUGGGUAGCCGGCCUGAGAGGGCGAUCGGCCACACUGGAACUGCGACACGGUCCAGACUCCUACGGGAGGCAGCAGUGAGGAAUCUUGCGCAAGUGGGCGAAAGCCUGACGCAGCGACGCCGCGUGGAGGAUGAAGGUCUUCGGAUUGUAAACUCCUGUCGA
This 428-nucleotide ribosomal RNA is filed under the name uncultured bacterium. RNAcentral's name for it is "bacterial SSU rRNA". It matches the Rfam family "Bacterial small subunit ribosomal RNA", at positions 28 to 439 of the family's 1533-position model. The record is from RNAcentral.